Long non-coding RNA from Onychomys torridus (southern grasshopper mouse), 1268 nucleotides. RefSeq lists it as uncharacterized. The transcript is spliced from 3 exons. The record is from RefSeq and is a predicted model, not a curated record. NCBI's taxonomy places the organism in Eukaryota, Metazoa, Chordata, Mammalia, Rodentia, Cricetidae.
GGUAUUCAGCUGAGGAUGAUCUUGAGAGUCUGAUCCUUUCACAUCGACCUCCCCAGUGCUGGAUUUCAGGAGCCCUCAAGGCAGAAGAUGAUGCGGACUGAGCACACUUCCUCUGGUCACCUCUUAAGCUUGAUUCCCACUCAGUGAGAGGCCUGCACAUCGUGGGACAUCCACUCCCUCUCCCUGUCUGUGCAGAAGUUUAUUGUCUCUGCAGGUUUGUUGUUCUCUCUCCCCAGAGAUGCACCAGAGGGGAGAGAGAGAUGAGAGACUGGGGGGCUGGGUGACUUUCUUGUUUUGCAAUGUCUGUGGCCAUUUGUGGCUUGUUGUAACUCCGCAGUAGAUUGGUACUAAAAACAACAGCAUGCAUUUUAAAGGGCUCUUGAUAGUUACCAUGGUAAUUUGAGAUUUUGAUAAAUAAAAAUAUAUUCUGGGGAAUAAGAAGAAGUCAGAGGUUUAACCUUCAGAAAACCUCAUUAUACUAAUGAUGGGUGAAGAAUGAGGGAGAAAUGUUAAAAUCAUGGCCCUGCGCUAGCAUCAACUCAGUUCCAGCCUAAAAAUGAAGGAUUUUUGUUGUCAGUAGGAACAUAUAUCCUUACAAUCUCAAACGCUAUCUGAAGCCAAAACAAUGCACCAUUAAGGGUAAGUGGUCUUUAGGACUUUAGGUUUCAGAGGUCAGCAUAAAGGACAUUGUCUUACAGAUAACAGGCAUAUCCCAGACACCAGGGCCUUUGUUGCAAAGAAGAAGCUGAGCCACCAACCCCAGACCUGUCCCUAAGGCCUCCACUUAAACCAACCAGUGGUAAUAAGACAAGCGGAAGCUGCUCAUACAAUGACACACAAUUACUUACACAUGGAUUUUAGAGGCACACAUACCAUUUUGUAUGUAGACAUACACACAGAAACACACCGUCAGCCUUCCCUAAAUGCCAAUCCUCAACUGCCAGUUCAGCCAAAUACAGAUUUAAAAUAUGUGAGAAAGUGACAUCUACACAGGACAGGCCCGGACUCCCUCUUGUCAGUGUUCCCUGAACAAGUACAGUAGAAGGAUUUACACAGAACCUACAUGGCAUUAGAGACAGUGAUCUAGACGGACUUAGAGUGCAGGAGGGGUAGGUAGGUUACAUGAAAUUCCAUGCUACUUUCCAUGAAGGACUUGAACACUCACAGAGUUUGGUAUCUUAAGAGGGCUUUGGAAUCAGUUCCCUGAGGGUAACUGUUGAUAUACAUGUAGACACCACACACACACACACACACACACACACACACAC